Molecule: ribosomal RNA, 308 nt
Filed under: uncultured bacterium
Lineage: Bacteria
Description: partial 16S ribosomal RNA
Rfam family: Bacterial small subunit ribosomal RNA
Source: RNAcentral
GAGACAGCAGCAGCCGCGGGAAUACCGAGGGUGCGAGCGUUAAUCGGAUUUACUGGGCGUAAAGCGUGCGUAGGCGGCUUCUUAAGUCGGAUGUGAAAUCCCUGAGCUUAACUUAGGAAUUGCAUUCGAUACUGGGAAGCUAGAGUAUGGGAGAGGAUGGUAGAAUUCCAGGUGUAGCGGUGAAAUGCGUAGAGAUCUGGAGGAAUACCGAUGGCGAAGGCAGCCAUCUGGCCUAAUACUGACGCUGAGGUACGAAAGCAUGGGGAGCAAACAGGAUUAGAUACCCCGGUAGUCCCUGUCUCUUAUAC